UACGUAGGGUGCGAGCGUUGUCCGGAAUUACUGGGCGUAAAGAGCUCGUAGGUGGUUUGUCGCGUUGUCCGUGAAAACUCACAGCUCAACUGUGGGCGUGCGGGCGAUACGGGCAGACUGGAGUACUGCAGGGGAGACUGGAAUUCCUGGUGUAGCGGUGGAUUGCGCAGAUAUCAGGAGGAACACCGGUGGCGAAGGCGGGUCUCUGGGCAGUAACUGACGCUGAGGAGCGAAAGCGUGGGGAGCGAACAGG
RNAcentral lists this ribosomal RNA (253 nucleotides) under uncultured bacterium. RNAcentral's name for it is "partial 16S ribosomal RNA". It matches the Rfam family "Bacterial small subunit ribosomal RNA", at positions 524 to 776 of the family's 1533-position model. The record is from RNAcentral.